RNAcentral lists this non-coding RNA (31 nucleotides) under Rattus norvegicus (Norway rat). The record is from RNAcentral. Lineage: Eukaryota; Metazoa; Chordata; Mammalia; Rodentia; Muridae.
UCUGAUGCCAACUAGAGCCAAAGGUCUCAUU